GAGGGGUUCGUAUAGUGGUAGUACGGCGCUCUCCAAAAGCGCACGCGUGGGUUCGAUUCCUACACCCCCUG
This is a non-coding RNA of Candidatus Buchananbacteria bacterium, 71 nucleotides long. The record is from Rfam. Lineage: Bacteria; Candidatus Buchananiibacteriota.